AACGUAGGGGGCUAGCGUUGUCCGGAAUUACUGGGCGUAAAGCGCACGCAGGCGGUCUGGAAAGCGGUGGGUGCAAUCUCGAGGCUCAACCUCGAAACUGCUCGCCGAACUACCAGACUUGAGCACGGGAGAGGACAGUGGAAUUCCCGGUGUAGCGGUGGAAUGCGUAAAUAUCGGGAGGAACACCAGUGGCGAAGGCUGCUGUCUGGAACGUUGCUGACGCUGAGGUGCGAAAGCCAGGGGAGCGAACGGGAUUAGAUACCCCCGUAGUCCCUGA
This 277-nucleotide ribosomal RNA is filed under the name uncultured prokaryote. RNAcentral's name for it is "partial 16S ribosomal RNA". It matches the Rfam family "Bacterial small subunit ribosomal RNA", at positions 524 to 799 of the family's 1533-position model. The record is from RNAcentral.